AUGGGGAAGUUAAGGGGAGAUGAUGGGGUGGAGGUUCGAGGGGAGGAUGGUCUGAAGUCACUCACAACUAAUCAUUUCUUUAACUUGUUUACCCCCAUGGCAGGUACAAAUAUAAAUCAUGGGCUUGAGGCGAUGUUACCUCUGGUGACUCCGCAAAUGAAUGAGCUUCUGUGUAGUGAAUACACGGAAAAGGAGAUCAAGAAAUCAAUGGAUGAAAUGGGGGAUCUCAAGGCACCGGGAGCGGAUGGUAUGCCAGCUGUGUUCUAUAAAAGGUUUUGGAGUACAGUGAGUGAUGCCGUGGUACAAGAGGUGUUGAACAUGUUGCGAGGUGGCAGUAUACCAGAGGGAUGGAAUGAAACAACUGUGGUACUCAUCCCAAAGGUUCGGAACCCAGAUCGAAUAAAGGAUCUACGCCCUAUUAGCCUAUGCAAUGUCGUUUACAAGCUUGUAUCAAAGGUGAUUGCAAACUGGCUCAAACUAAUUUUGGACAAGCUUAUUUCUGCAAACCAGAGUGCCUUCAUCCCGGGACGAUUGGUCUCGGAUAAUACCAUUCUUGCAUAUGAGAUGACACACCAUAUGAGAAGGAAGAGGAAGGGGAAUGAUGUUCUCAUGGCCCUUAAGCUGGAUAUGAGCAAAGCGUACGACAGAGUUGAAUGGCCUUUCUUGGAGAGGAUGAUGAGAAGAAUGGGCUUUGCGAAUGCCUUUUUGCAGUUGGUAAUGAAGUGUGUCACAACGGUUUCUGCGUUGCCAUUCUGGACGAAUGUUCAAGGUACACGAGCGAUACUUUUACCCGACAUGGAUGGCAGCAUGAUCUUCAGGUUGGCCCUCCAACAUCUUAGGUGGUAUACAGUCUCCACAUGA
RNAcentral lists this ribosomal RNA (861 nucleotides) under Triticum aestivum (bread wheat). RNAcentral describes it as "partial small subunit ribosomal RNA". Lineage: Eukaryota; Viridiplantae; Streptophyta; Magnoliopsida; Poales; Poaceae. The record is from RNAcentral.